UAAACUCUACCUAACCCUAAACCCUUUCUAGUCCUAAAUCUAACCCUAAACCCUUUCUAGCCCUUAAUCUAACCCUAAACCCUACUAACCUUAUACCUUUCUAAUCCUAAACCCUACCUAAUUCUAAACCCUACCUAACCCUAAUCCUAUAUAACCCUGAACCCUACUAACCCUAAACCCUACUAACCCUAAACCCUACCUAACCAUAAAACCUUUCUAACCUUAAAUCCUUUCUAGCCCUAAACCCUAUCUAACCCUAAACCCUACUAACCCUAAACCCCACUAACCCUAAAUCCUACUAAUCCUAAACCCUACAUAACCCUAAACCCUGUCUAACACUAAACCCUACCUAACUCUAAACCAUACGUAACCUUAGACCCUACCUAACCCUAAACCCUACCUAACCCUAAACCCUACAUAAUCCUAAACUCUACCUAGCCCUAAACCCUACCAACCCUAAACCUUUUUUAACCCUAAACCCUACCUAACCCUAAACCCUUCCUAACCCUAAACCAUGCCUAACCCUAAAAACCCUACCUAACCCUAAAACCUUUCUAACCCUAAACCCUACCUAACCCUAAAUCCUGCUAACCCUAAACCCUGCCUAAACCUAACCCUAAAACCCUACCUAAACCUAACCAUAAAUCCCAUCUAACGCUAAAACUCUACCAACCCUAAACACUAAAAAAUAAUCUCAAAACUUAAAGUUAAAAAA
This 715-nucleotide long non-coding RNA is filed under the name Brassica rapa (field mustard). Its description in RNAcentral is "long non-coding RNA (BRAP_LNC001720)". The record is from RNAcentral. Lineage: Eukaryota; Viridiplantae; Streptophyta; Magnoliopsida; Brassicales; Brassicaceae.